Long non-coding RNA from Salvia miltiorrhiza (redroot sage), 676 nucleotides. RefSeq lists it as uncharacterized. The record is from RefSeq and is a predicted model, not a curated record. The transcript is spliced from 4 exons. NCBI's taxonomy places the organism in Eukaryota, Viridiplantae, Streptophyta, Magnoliopsida, Lamiales, Lamiaceae.
CUCCAUUCCUUCUUUAAAACAUGCAUCACCUAUCCCGUUUCUCACCUCUCAUACUCAAUUCCUGCAGUCAAGUUUCACGAGAGCAACAACAUACACCACCAAUUCGAGAAAAAUGAAAUUGGAGCAUUGAGGCGGUUAGGUCGGCCCAUUUGACAGCUGAAGUUAGAGAAAAACGGUGUACCAUUAUCCACAUAUAUUGAGGGAUGAAGUGCCUCAACCAUUACCAUCCAUCUCCACCAUUAUCAUCAGUUAGAAACAAACACACAAUGUGGCCUCGUAGAUUAGAACUCAACGGUAACAGCUUCUCCUUAAGCAGCAGGGCGCUACCUUGUACUUUUCUUGCAGCUACUGCUCCCCCCGCUGCCAAGUUGUCGGUUCUUCUUCAGACAGGUGGUGUAUGCCUUGUUGCCUAUUGGGUUGCAAAUUUCGUGGUACCGGGAUUCAUUCUUAAGGACCUCCAAUCCAAAGACAAAGCCGACGAGAAUCCAAGCGAAGAUCAAGGCUGAACCAUACCAAUUCAUCAACUAUUGGAGUCAAGAGGGUUUUUUAGGACACUAACUUAGGUUGAUUUGGAAAUUAUGACAAUAACUUUCGGAUUUAUAAAAAUAGAACACUAAUUAAUAAGUGUUGCACCCGUAGCACAUUUCUCGGCCAAUUAUCGAAUUUUCGGACUUUC